GGUUCGGAGAGAGGGCCGCGGCGGCUGGGCCAGGCCUGCAAGGUGUGAGGGGACACCUGAAGAAGCUUGUAUGCUGAUGAGAAAGAUCCACCAGAAGGACCUGAAGAUACAGGAAACUGACAGUAAUGAUGACAUUGAAGAUGUUUCACUGUUUGAUGCAGAAGAGGAGACAACUAGUAGACCAAAAAAAUCCAAAAUCAGACACCCAGUGGCAUCAUUUUUCCAUUUAUUCUUUCGAGUCAGUGCAAUUAUAGUCUAUCUUCUCUGUGAAUUGUUCAGCAGCAGCUUUAUUGCCUGUAUGGUGACAAUUAUCUUAUUGUUGUCAUGUGACUUUUGGGCAGUCAAGAAUGUCACAGGUAGACUAAUGGUUGGCCUGCGCUGGUGGAAUCAUAUUGAUGAAGAUGGAAAAAGCCAUUGGGUGUUUGAGUCCAGGAAGGCCUCUCCUCAAGACAGUAAAACAGUGUCAGAGGCUGAAUCAAGAAUCUUCUGGUUAGGACUCAUUGCCUGUCCGGUGCUGUGGGUAAUAUUUGCCUUUAGUGCCCUCUUCUCCUUCAGAGUGAAGUGGUUGGCGGUGGUUAUCAUGGGUGUGGUGCUGCAAGGGGCCAACCUGUAUGGCUACAUCAGGUGCAAAGUGGGCAGCAGGAAGAAUUUAACCAGCAUGGCUACAUCGUACCUUGGAAAGCAGUUUUUAAGACAAACCACUGGAGACGAUCAGACCUCCUGAAGAGAGUGAGGGAACCUGCGUGUUCUUUCCAUCGGGAACGACUGAAGGGGGUCUUGACUGUGAACCUUUAGAACUCAGUACCUAUUGCAAAGAGGAGUGUUGGGUGACGAAACAGGACUUCAGGUUAUUGACUGACUUGCCCAAGGAGACACUGAUUACAGGAAGACCCAUCAGGACAUAUUACUGAUUUUAGAGGAAAUAUUUGUCUCUAAAUGUCCUUUCCUUUCGUACGAAUCAUUAAUUUACUAAGUCAUUAAUUUGGUAAGUGCUUGUUUCCCAUUUUAUUUAUACUUGUCUGGUGAGGAAAGUGGAUGCUGUGUAAAUGUUUUUAUUUAACCUGAAAGAUCUGGUGUCAGUCUGUAGAGCUGAGAGUCUCAUGGGGGGGGUUGCUCUUGAGGUAACUAUUGUUAUUUGAGGCUGCAAUCCCAAACCAAAUAUGAAUUGAAUUUUGGAAUAUGCACGUGGCAGGACCUACUGUUUAUCCCCCAAUAUUCAUUUUUCCCUUCUAUUCAUUUCCCACUUAUGAGCCAGGACAUGGCAACAAAGACAGUUUUUCCCAGAUUUUCUUGCUGCACCUUGGCUACGCUUCCAGGAAGUAUUCUUAGAAGGCCGGCAUGCGCGUCCCCUCCCCUUUUCACCCCUCUUAGCUGAAAUGUUGACAGAAUAGAUGGCGCUUGAACAGCUGUCAUGGACGAUGGGGUGGAAGCCUUAUUUUGAGAACAGCAGAGAAAUAAGGUAGAGAUUGAGUUCCCUCUGAUGGAGCCAGCAACCCUGAACUGCCUGUCUGAAUUUUUAAAUGAGAAACAAACUUCUGUCUUGUUUAAGUGUUAUUGCUUUGGUUUUUCUGUUGCUACAGCCUAAGUGAAUUCUUAUCAAUACAGUAUAUUUUCAGCAGCCCCCAUAAUUGUUUCCAUUAGUAUAGUAUUUGAGAUGUAAUAGUUCAUCAAAUACAUAUUUGCUCUUUUCUCUGUGAGGUAAUUAAGCUAAUAUUAUAGAUGCUACCAAGUCCAGCUGUUCCAGAUGCUGUUGCUGCGUAAAAAUUCACCCCAAAACUUAGCAGUGUAAAACAGUCAUUUUCUUAUGCUUACACAAGCUGUGGGUCAGGAAUUUGGGUGGAGCUUAGUGGGGACAGCUUUCCUCUGCUGCACAGUCUGGGGCUCGGCUGAGAGAUUUGAAGGCUGGGUUUUGCACAUUGGCCAGGAGGCAGGAAACAUCUGGGGGCAUCUUCACGGGUCUGGAGAUUGAUGGUGGCUGUUAGCUGAACCUCAGCCAGGUUGCUGGUUGGAACACCCACAUUUGUGACCUUUGGGUCGUCUCUCUGUGGAGGCUCAUCUGGGCUUCUUCACAGCCUGGUAGCUGGGGUCUAAGACAGGCUUCCCCAGGGAGCCAGAGAAGUGUGUGACUUUUUAUGACUAGUCUCGGGGUUCACAUAGUGUCACUUCUGCCAUACUCUGGUUGAAGCAGCCACUAAGGUCCCCCUGAGUUCACGGGGAGGGGAUAAAGCAGCCAUCUUUGGAAAGUAAAAUCUGCCACACAUAGUCCUCUCAAGACUGGAAAACUACUUGAAGAGACCGAGGGUAGCAGGUGUUGCUUUCUUUUUUAUCUUCCCUGGUCAGCCUUGAGCACAGGUGAACUGACUGAGUGGUGCAAUUAAAAUGAAAGUAACAUUGCAUUCUGUAGCCCCCAGUGUGCCUGUUAUUUGGCCCACAGCUCUGAAACACAGGCAAGGGUGUGUGUGGUUGUGUGGAGGUGAUGGCACAGUAAGUCCACCAUGGUGUCCCUACUGUGGUCCUUUAAAUUUGUAAAACUCUUCAGAGCUCAUUCAGAGUUCCUUUAUGUCUAUUACCUUAUUUGAUUUUCCCCCAUAACCUCUAGAAGGAGGAGAGAUCAUGAAUAACCUCAUGUUACAGAUGAAUAGCUAAGACGGAGAAAAGUAAAAUAAUUUACUGACGAUUGCAUGUAGUAGAGACAGUGAUGCUCCCCCAGUAUUCCCUUUGUUCUCCUGUACUUCCCACCAGCUCCCUAAUUAAUUGAAGCUAUGAGAUCAGUUAUGGCCCGUGUGAUGUGAGUGAAGGUGACCUGCAUCGCUUUUGGGUGAGGAAGGUGAAACUGAUGUGAGAGUCUCUAAUCUUUCUUCCCUUCUGUGGCAGCCAGUGGUGCUCGAGAUGGUGCCUCGGCCAGCUGGGUCCCUGGGUGGCUUGUAGAGCAGAAUCCCCCACCUGCUCCUGUUGGACGAAUGGCGUAAGUGAGCAAUAAACUUUUGGUGUGUGAAGUCACUUGAUUUCCUGGUUAAUUUGUUUCCAUAACAUAACACAACGUAAUAGCCUCUUCUGACGAAUAUAGGUGCACAACUGACAAGUAAUACUCAGAAAACUUUUAAGUCCUAAUUCAGUAAUUCCUCCACUGUUCCAUGCUAUUUCCUUUUGCAAGGAAAGAAAUUGGAAUCUGGUCCCUUAGUGCAGCAUCACCAAUUCUGAUCAGAACAGACAGGUGAAGCUGACCAGGUGAAAAUUCAACUAGGAGAGUCCACCUCCAUCUAAAGGGACAGGAGCUUCUCAUUUCCAGCCACUUGUUGCCACUCAGGAGUGUGGUUCCUGUGUUGCUAGGGUUUUCAGUUUUUU
Molecule: RNA transcript, 3345 nt
Organism: Mesoplodon densirostris (Blainville's beaked whale)
Lineage: Eukaryota; Metazoa; Chordata; Mammalia; Artiodactyla; Ziphiidae
Gene: TVP23C
Gene name: trans-golgi network vesicle protein 23 homolog C
Exons: 9
Source: RefSeq, a predicted model, not a curated record